AGUGAACGCUGGCGGUAGGCCUAACACAUGCAAGUCGAACGGCAGCACAGUAAGAGCUUGCUCUUACGGGUGGCGAGUGGCGUACGGGUGAGGAAUACAUCGGAAUCUACUUUUUCUUGGGGGAUAACGUAGGGAAACUUACGCUAAUACCUCAUACGACCUACGGGUGAAAUCAUGGGAUCUUCUGACCUUUCUCGAUUGAAUGAGCCGAUGUCGGAUUAGCUAGUUGGCGGGGUAAAGGCCCACCAAGGCGACGAUCCGUAGCUGGUCUGAGAGGAUGAUCAGCCACACUGGAACUGAGACACGGACCAGACUCCUACGGGAGGAAGAAGUGGGGAAUAUUGGACAAUGGGCGAAAGCAUGAUAAAGCCAGACCGAGUGGGUGAAGAAGGACUUCGGGUUGUAAAGCCCUUUUGUUGGGAAAGAAAAGCAGCAGGUUAAUACCCCGCUGUUAUGACGGUAACAAAAGAAUAAGCACCGGCUAACUUCGUG
Molecule: ribosomal RNA, 492 nt
Filed under: uncultured bacterium
Lineage: Bacteria
Description: partial 16S ribosomal RNA
Rfam family: Bacterial small subunit ribosomal RNA
Source: RNAcentral